Molecule: small nuclear RNA, 112 nt
Organism: Phyllostomus discolor (pale spear-nosed bat)
Lineage: Eukaryota; Metazoa; Chordata; Mammalia; Chiroptera; Phyllostomidae
Source: RefSeq, a predicted model, not a curated record
GUGCUUGCUUUGGCAGCACAAGUACUAAAAUUGGAACAAUACAGAGAAGAUUAACAUGGCCCCCACACAAGGAUGACAUGCAAAUUUGAGAAGAGGAAAACAACUCAUUUAU